ACAGCAGCCCAUAUUUGCACAACUAUAAGCACAUUGUCAACCUCACACUUGUUGCAAAACUCUACACACAGUGAUUUGCAAAACACUAAACACACUUAACAUACAUCACACACAAAAAUCUAUCAUGAAGUCACUUCCUUGCAAUACCAAAGCACUGACUGUCAAAUUACCGCACCGUCCAACUAAUUGGUUCAACACAGUCAUCAGGUGUGCAAACACUUGUUUGUUUAAUUGUAGACACACCAAUCAGGUGUGUAAGCACUAUAAAAAGCAGCAGGUGAGUUCAUCGGUCUUCAAGCAAAAUGGAAGGAGGAGGAGGAAGGGGAGGAAGAGGAAUCAACAGAGGAAGAGGAAGAGAUGGAGGCCAUGCUGGAGGUAGUAGAAGAGGAAGACGAAGACAAGAAGGUGCUCAAAGAGGACCGAAUCUGACAAAUGAGAUCCGCCAACACUGGUUGACCAUGUUGUCAACCACGGCCUGACGCUGAGGGAGGCUGGACUGCGAGUACAGCCAAAUCUAAGCCGAUACACAGUGGCAAGUGUGAUAAGAACAUUUCGGCUGGAAAAUAGGAUUGAGGGUCAGGAACGACAAGGGGGAAGGCCUCCUAUGUUCAUAGAACAGCAAGAGAGGGAGACAGUAAACAUGGUUUUGGCCAACAAUGCUAUAACACUCAAACAGCUCCAAGCUAACAUUGUCAAUAACCAUGCCAGUUUCAACGAUAUCCAUCAGGUCUCAAUAUCAACACUGGCACGCAUCCUAAAAAAAAAACCAUAUUCAAUUGAAGCAAAUUUAUCGAGUGCCUUUCGAGCGCAAUUCCGAAAGGGUGAAACAACUGCGGCAUGAUUAUGCAGAGGUAGUUCUACGAAUGGAUGGAGAGGAGAUCCAGCAUGAGUUCAUUUACGUAGAUGAGGCUGGGUUCAACCUGACGAGAACACGAAGGAGGGGAAGAAACGUCAUUGGCCACAGGGCUAUAGUCAAUGUCCCAGGG
Molecule: long non-coding RNA, 986 nt
Organism: Brienomyrus brachyistius
Lineage: Eukaryota; Metazoa; Chordata; Actinopteri; Osteoglossiformes; Mormyridae
Exons: 3
Source: RefSeq, a predicted model, not a curated record